GUUUGAUUAUGGCUCAGGAUGAACGCUAGCGGCAGGCUUAACACAUGCAAGGUCGAGGGGCAACGCGAGUAGCAAUACUUGGCGGCGACCGGCGCAAGGGUGCGUAACGCGUGAGCAACAUGCCCGCAUCAGGGGGAUAAUCCAGGGAAACUUGGUCUAAUACCCCAUAGUAAUUUUGUAAGGCAUCUUAUAAGAUUUAAAGCUUUGGUGGAUACGGAUUGGCUCGCGUGACAUUAGCUGGAUGGUAAGGUAACGGCUUACCAUGGCUAUGAUGUCUAGGGGUUCUGAGAGGAAGGUCCCCACACUGGAACUGAGACACGGUCCAGACUCCUACGGGAGGCAGCAGUGAGGAAUAUUGGACAAUGGAUGGAAAUCUGAUCCAGCCAUGCCGCGUGAAGGAAGAAGGUCCUAUGGAUUGUAAACUUCUUUUGUAUGGGAGCAAUAAGGCCUACGUGUAGGUUGAUGAGAGUACCAUACGAAUAAGCACCGGCUAACUCCGUGCCAGCCGCCGC
This 512-nucleotide ribosomal RNA is filed under the name uncultured bacterium. RNAcentral describes it as "bacterial SSU rRNA". It matches the Rfam family "Bacterial small subunit ribosomal RNA", at positions 11 to 518 of the family's 1533-position model. The record is from RNAcentral.